This 355-nucleotide long non-coding RNA is filed under the name Setaria viridis. RNAcentral's name for it is "long non-coding RNA (SVIR_LNC000294)". The record is from RNAcentral. Lineage: Eukaryota; Viridiplantae; Streptophyta; Magnoliopsida; Poales; Poaceae.
GAGAUCGUCCACAACUCUGAGUACGACUCCUGGAUUGCGAAAGCUCAGCAUGUACUAAGCUACCUGCUGAAUUCUCUCGCCAAGGGUGCAUUAGCACUGGUAGCAACAGCAACCAUAGCAGCAGAAGCAUGGGGGGCGCUUGAGAGGAUAUUCUCGAUGCACUCCAAUGUGCAUUAGCACUGGUGGCAACAGCAACAAUAGCAGCAGAAGCAUGGGGGGCGCUUGAGAGGAUAUUCUCGAUGCACUCCAAGGCGCGGAUUAAAAAUAUGUGCAUCCUACUCUCCACAACCAAGAAGGGUAACAUGUGCUCCUCAGCCUAUUUCACCAAGAUGUGUUCUUUCAAAGAUGAACUAAC